Small nucleolar RNA from Ornithorhynchus anatinus (platypus), 138 nucleotides. Lineage: Eukaryota; Metazoa; Chordata; Mammalia; Monotremata; Ornithorhynchidae. The record is from RefSeq and is a predicted model, not a curated record.
UCCACCUCAGAGUCUCACCUGGAGAGUUUCCAGUACUCUACCAGUCUCAGCUAUGAGAAGGAGAGUCAAGCAGGGGCCUAACCAUUUCAUUCCUAGCUUGGGCAGUGGCUAGCGAGUGGAAGGCAAUCUGCUACAAGU